UACAGAGGUGGCAAGCGUUGUUCGGAAUUACUGGGUGUAAAGGGCGCGUAGGCGGUUCGUUAAGUCCUGUGUGAAAUCCCCCGGCUCAACUGGGGAACUGCACAGGAAACUAGCGGGCUUGAGUUCGGGAGAGGGAAGCGGAAUUCCGGGUGUAGCGGUGAAAUGCGUAGAUAUCCGGAGGAACACCGGUGGCGAAGGCGGCUUCCUGGACCGACACUGACGCUGAGGCGCGAAAGCUAGGGGAGCAAACGGG
This 253-nucleotide ribosomal RNA is filed under the name uncultured bacterium. Its description in RNAcentral is "partial 16S ribosomal RNA". It matches the Rfam family "Bacterial small subunit ribosomal RNA", at positions 524 to 776 of the family's 1533-position model. The record is from RNAcentral.